UACGUAGGGUGCAAGCGUUAAUCGGAAUUACUGGGCGUAAAGCGUGCGCAGGCGGCUUUGCAAGACAGAUGUGAAAUCCCCGGGCUUAACCUGGGAACUGCAUUUGUGACUGCAUGGCUGGAGUGCGGCAGAGGGGGAUGGAAUUCCGCGUGUAGCAGUGAAAUGCGUAGAUAUGCGGAGGAACACCGAUGGCGAAGGCAGCCCCCUGGGCCAACACUGACGCUCAUGCACGAAAGCGUGGGGAGCAGACAGG
RNAcentral lists this ribosomal RNA (253 nucleotides) under uncultured bacterium. RNAcentral describes it as "partial 16S ribosomal RNA". It matches the Rfam family "Bacterial small subunit ribosomal RNA", at positions 524 to 776 of the family's 1533-position model. The record is from RNAcentral.